RNAcentral lists this long non-coding RNA (401 nucleotides) under Monodelphis domestica (gray short-tailed opossum). RNAcentral's name for it is "lncRNA (ENSMODG00000049630.1)". The record is from RNAcentral. Lineage: Eukaryota; Metazoa; Chordata; Mammalia; Didelphimorphia; Didelphidae.
CAGUCUCUUUUCGCAGAGACGUGGCUCUGCCUCUUUCUCAGAGACAUGGCUCUGUCUCUCUUGUGGAGAUGUGGCUCUUGCUCUGGCUGGUGUGGCUCAUGGCAGUGUGCUGGGUGUCCUGGGAGAAGCUCUGUAGCAUGGUUUAGAAUAAUCAAGUUGAAUAAAAGAAAACCAGCAAUAGAUUCAUGUUUUUAACCAUUUGGUGGAAAGGAGACUGACAUAUACCCUGAAGGGUUGAAGGUUAUCAUGAGGAAGAAAAGGAUUUGCUAAGUGGUGUGAAGAAAACUUCAGAGAACAAGAGUAACUUUCCUGUAACAAAGUGUUUUCAAUAUCCUUAAGUACUUUAUAGGCACCCUUUUAUAUUCAAGUAAUUUAUAUAUAAAUUACAAAUCAUUAAAUGG